RNAcentral lists this ribosomal RNA (1053 nucleotides) under Lasiodiplodia theobromae. RNAcentral describes it as "SSU rRNA". It matches the Rfam family "Eukaryotic small subunit ribosomal RNA", at positions 53 to 1111 of the family's 1831-position model. Lineage: Eukaryota; Fungi; Ascomycota; Dothideomycetes; Botryosphaeriales; Botryosphaeriaceae. The record is from RNAcentral.
GCAUGUCUAAGUAUAAGCAAUUCUAUACUGUGAAACUGCGAAUGGCUCAUUAAAUCAGUUAUCGUUUAUUUGAUAGUACCUUACUACUUGGAUAACCGUGGUAAUUCUAGAGCUAAUACAUGCUAAAAACCCCGACUUCGGAAGGGGUGUAUUUAUUAGAUAAAAAACCAAUGCCCUUCGGGGCUCCUUGGUGAAUCAUGAUAACUUAACGAAUCGCAUGGCCUUGCGCCGGCGAUGGUUCAUUCAAAUUUCUGCCCUAUCAACUUUCGAUUGUAGGAUAGUGGCCUACAAUGGUUUCAACGGGUAACGGGGAAUUAGGGUUCUAUUCCGGAGAGGGAGCCUGAGAAACGGCUACCACAUCCAAGGAAGGCAGCAGGCGCGCAAAUUACCCAAUCCCGAUACGGGGAGGUAGUGACAAUAAAUACUGAUACAGGGCUCUUUUGGGUCUUGUAAUUGGAAUGAGUACAAUUUAAAUACCUUAACGAGGAACAAUUGGAGGGCAAGUCUGGUGCCAGCAGCCGCGGUAAUUCCAGCUCCAAUAGCGUAUAUUAAAGUUGUUGCAGUUAAAAAGCUCGUAGUUGAACCUUGGGCCUGGCUGGCCGGUCUGCCUCACCGCAUGUACUGGUUCGGCCGGGUCUUUCCUCCUGGGGAUCCGCAUGCCCUUCACUGGGUGUGUUGGGGAACCAGGACUUUUACUUUGAAAAAAUUAGAGUGUUCAAAGCAGGCCUUUGCUCGAAUACAUUAGCAUGGAAUAAUAGAAUAGGACGUGCGGUCCUAUUUUGUUGGUUUCUAGGACCGCCGUAAUGAUUAAUAGGGAUAGUCGGGGGCAUCAGUAUUCAGUUGUCAGAGGUGAAAUUCUUGGAUUUACUGAAGACUAACUACUGCGAAAGCAUUUGCCAAGGAUGUUUUCAUUAAUCAGUGAACGAAAGUUAGGGGGAUCGAAGACGAUCAGAUACCGUCGUAGUCUUAACCGUAAACUAUGCCGACUAGGGAUCGGGCGAUGUUAUUCUUUUGACUCGCUCGGCACCUUACGAGAAAUCAAAGUCUUUUGGG